CGGCGGACGGGUGAGUAACGCGUGGGUAACCUACCUCAUACGGGGGGAUAACAGUUGGAAACGGCUGCUAAUACCGCAUAAGCGCACAGUACCGCAUGGUACCGUGUGAAAAACUCCGGUGGUAUGAGAUGGACCCGCGUCUGAUUAGCUAGUUGGUGGGGUAACGGCCCACCAAGCCGACGAUCAGUAGCCGACCUGAGAGGGUGACCGGCCACAUUGGGACUGAGACACGGCCCAA
RNAcentral lists this ribosomal RNA (238 nucleotides) under uncultured bacterium. RNAcentral describes it as "partial 16S ribosomal RNA". It matches the Rfam family "Bacterial small subunit ribosomal RNA", at positions 96 to 334 of the family's 1533-position model. The record is from RNAcentral.